GGAAAUCUCACCAGGCCCGGACACUGGAAGGAUUGACAGAUUGAUAGCUCUUUCUUGAUUCAGUGGGUGGUGGUGCAUGGCCGUUCUUAGUUGGUGGAGUGAUUUGUCUGGUUAAUUCGGAUAACGAACGAGACCCCAACCUGCUAACUAGCCCUCGGGUCCUGCUUCUGUUGGGCCCGACGGAAUGAUUCGCUUCUUAGAGGGACUCGCGGCGCCUAGCCGCACGAAGGGGGGCGAUAA
RNAcentral lists this ribosomal RNA (240 nucleotides) under uncultured eukaryote. Its description in RNAcentral is "partial 18S ribosomal RNA". It matches the Rfam family "Eukaryotic small subunit ribosomal RNA", at positions 1208 to 1456 of the family's 1831-position model. The record is from RNAcentral.